This 460-nucleotide ribosomal RNA is filed under the name uncultured bacterium. Its description in RNAcentral is "partial 16S ribosomal RNA". It matches the Rfam family "Bacterial small subunit ribosomal RNA", at positions 338 to 795 of the family's 1533-position model. The record is from RNAcentral.
CCUACGGGGUGCAGCAGUGAGGAAUAUUGGUCAAUGGGCGCGAGCCUGAACCAGCCCAGUAGCGUGAAGGAUGACUGCCCUACGGGUUGUAAACUUCUUUUAUAAAGGAAUAAAGUGAGGAACGUGUGCCUUUUUGUAUGUACUUUAUGAAUAAGGAUCGGCUAACUCCGUGCCAGCAGCCGCGGUAAUACGGAGGAUCCGAGCGUUACCCGGAUUUAUUGGGUUUAAAGGGAGAGUAGAUGGGUUGUUAAGUCAGUUUGGAAAGUUUGCGGCUCAAACGGAAGAUUGCAAUUGAUACUGGCAGCGUUGAGUAAAGUUGAGGUAGGCGGAAUUCGUGGUGUAGCGGUGAAAUGCUUAGAUAUCACGAAGAACUCCGAUUGCGAAGGCAGCCUACUAAACUGCCACUGACAUUGAUGCUCGAAAGUGUGGGUAUCAAACAGGAUUAGAUACCCUUGUAGUC